This 395-nucleotide ribosomal RNA is filed under the name uncultured Acidobacteriota bacterium. RNAcentral describes it as "bacterial SSU rRNA". It matches the Rfam family "Bacterial small subunit ribosomal RNA", at positions 1080 to 1471 of the family's 1533-position model. The record is from RNAcentral. Lineage: Bacteria; Pseudomonadati; Acidobacteriota.
UUAAGUCCCGCAACGAGCGCAACCCUUGCCUCCUGUUGCCAUCAGGUAAUGCUGGGCACUCUGGAGAGACUGCCGGUGAUAAACCGGAGGAAGGUGGGGAUGACGUCAAGUCCUCAUGGCCUCUAUGCCCCGGGCUACACACGUGCUACAAUGGCUGGUACAAAGGGUUGCAAAACCGCGAGGUGGAGCUAAUCCCAAAAAACCAGUCCCAGUUCGGAUUGCAGUCUGCAACAAGAACUGCAUGAGGUUGGAAUCGCUAGUAAUCGCGGAUCAGCACGCCGCGGUGAAUACGUUCCCGGGCCUUGUACACACCGCCCGUCACAUCACGAAAGCCGGCUGUACUAGAAAUCUUCAAGCCGACCCGUAAGGGGGGCAGACGCCCACGGUAUGGUCGG